Molecule: non-coding RNA, 73 nt
Organism: Bos taurus (domestic cattle)
Lineage: Eukaryota; Metazoa; Chordata; Mammalia; Artiodactyla; Bovidae
Source: Rfam
UCCCUGGUGGUCCAGUGGCUAAGACUCUGCACUCCCAAGGCAGAGGGCCCAGGUUUGACCCCUGGUCAGGAAC